GACGAACGCUGGCGGCGUGCUUAACACAUGCAAGUCGAACGGAAAGGCCCUGCUUUUGUGGUGUGCUCGAGUGGCGAACGGGUGAGUAACACGUGAGUAACCUGCCCUUGACUUUGGGAUAACUUCAGGAAACUGGGGCUAAUACCGGAUAGGAGCUCCUGCUGCAUGGUGGGGGUUGGAAAGUUUGGGCGGUUGGGGAUGGACUCGCGGCUUAUCAGCUUGUUGGUGGGGUAGUGGCUUACCAAGGCUUUGACGGGUAGCCGGCAUGAGAGGGUGACCGGCGACAUUGGGACUGAGAUACGGCCCAGACUCCUACGGGAGGCAGCAGUGGAGAAUAUUGCACAAUGGGCGGAAGCCUGAUGCAGCAACGCCGCGUGCGGGAUGACGGCCUUCGGGGUGUAAACCGCUUUCGCCUGUGACGAAGCGUGAGUGACGGUAAUGGGUAAAGAAGCACCGGCUAACUACGUG
RNAcentral lists this ribosomal RNA (468 nucleotides) under uncultured bacterium. Its description in RNAcentral is "partial 16S ribosomal RNA". It matches the Rfam family "Bacterial small subunit ribosomal RNA", at positions 28 to 507 of the family's 1533-position model. The record is from RNAcentral.